Molecule: ribosomal RNA, 254 nt
Filed under: uncultured bacterium
Lineage: Bacteria
Description: partial 16S ribosomal RNA
Rfam family: Bacterial small subunit ribosomal RNA
Source: RNAcentral
UACAGGGGGGGCAAGCGUUGUUCGGAUUUACUGGGCGUAAAGGGCGCGUAGGCGGCCAGCACAAGUCAGUUGUGAAAUCUCCGAGCUUAACUCGGAAAGGUCAACUGAUACUGUGCGGCUAGAGUGCAGAAGGGGCAACUGGAAUUCUCGGUGUAGCGGUGAAAUGCGUAGAUAUCGAGAGGAACACCUGCGGCGAAGGCGGGUUGCUGGGCUGACACUGACGCUGAGGCGCGAAAGCUAGGGGAGCGAACGGG